GAUGAACGCUGGCGGCGUGCUUAACACAUGCAAGUCGAACGAUGAAGCCCAGCUUGCUGGGUGGAUUAGUGGCGAACGGGUGAGUAACACGUGAGUAACCUGCCCUUGACUCUGGGAUAAGCCUGGGAAACUGGGUCUAAUACUGGAUAUGACUUCUCAUCGCAUGGUGGGGGGUGGAAAGAUUUAUUGGUCUUGGAUGGACUCGCGGCCUAUCAGCUUGUUGGUGAGGUAAUGGCUCAGCAAGGCGACGACGGGUAGCCGGCCUGAGAGGGUGACCGGCCACACUGGGACUGAGACACGGCCCAGACUCCUACGGGAGGCAGCAGUGGGGAAUAUUGCACAAUGGGCGCAAGCCUGAUGCAGCGACGCCGCGUGAGGGAUGACGGCCUUCGGGUUGUAAACCUCUUUCAGUAGGGAAGAAGCGAGAGUGACGGUACCUGCAGAAGAAGCGCCGGCUAACUACGUG
This 466-nucleotide ribosomal RNA is filed under the name uncultured bacterium. RNAcentral describes it as "partial 16S ribosomal RNA". It matches the Rfam family "Bacterial small subunit ribosomal RNA", at positions 28 to 507 of the family's 1533-position model. The record is from RNAcentral.